This 4480-nucleotide long non-coding RNA is filed under the name Anas platyrhynchos platyrhynchos (common mallard). Its description in RNAcentral is "lncRNA (ENSAPLG00000027888.1)". The record is from RNAcentral. Lineage: Eukaryota; Metazoa; Chordata; Aves; Anseriformes; Anatidae.
UGUGAGAUAAAAAAGUAAUAACGCUGCCCUCCAUUAUUUAUUAGCAGCCUUUAUUUCUCCCAGCAAAAUAAUUCCCUUCCUCCCCGGGUCGGUCGGGAGCGCAGCGCGAUGCCGUCACCCCGUCCCUCAGGACGUGGGCAUGGUUUGGAGCAGACGGGGUACUGCGGUGUCCCGGCCGAGUGCCACCAGGGGUGUUUGUGUUGUGUGGGACCCGUGUGGUGUCCCUGUCCCCGUGUGGUGUCCCCGUCCCUGUGUGGUGUCCCUGUCCCCGUGUGCAGCUCUGCUCUGCAUGGCCCUGGGGACACGGCUCCGGCAGUCCCGCGCUGCCCAGGGUUAGUGUUGGCUGUAUUGACUGCAUUUGUGACAGCUGGGGCUCAAUAUUGAAAUUACUCAGAGCUCCAGAUAGCCAGGCUGAAUCAAUCCGUUUGUUAGUGGGAGCCAAAGGCAGCACGACAGCGAAGGAAUAUUGCAUCCUCAGAGGGAGGCCGCGGCAGGGAGGGAUCGGCCCCAUGACCACGUUUACAGCCAUCUUUGUGAUUUUGCCUGCCAUCGUGUCUUUGCUUUAGCCCUGAGGUCCCAAACUCGGCAGGUCCAUGACCUCCCCUUCUCCUGAGGCAGCUCUCGGGAGCAGACCUCGUCCCCUGGCCGGGCAGCACGGCUUAGCCCAAGCAGAAGGGAGGCGGCGGUGCUGUCGCUCACAGACACGUUGUUUCCAAGACCCAGCUGUGGAUGUGAGGAUCAGCAACGAAAACCCGUCACCAGACCAUGUGCAGGUGUGGCACUCAGGUGUCUGGCACUGCGGGGUUCCCAGCAGGGAGAGGCUCUGUCUAACACGGGAACGCUGUCCUUGCUGUCCUCGCUCCCCGCAGCGGGGAAUCACCGCCGCUCCCAGCCCCAGGCACCUCUCUGCUGGAAGGCAUCGGGCGGACCGGGUGGCAUUGCCAUGGCAAUCAUCACCUGGGAAACCGAGAGGUGUGGAGCUGACAAAACGGAGGUGUUCGCUCGCUUUUCUUUGGGAAGCAGGUUGGCUCGGACCUGGCAUCCAGAUGGGCUCUGAUGGGCCCUCAGAUGGGCUCUGUCCAGGAGGAAGGGACCCAGAAAGGAGAAGGCUGAGGUUCAAAGAAAUAAAACCAAACUCUGGCACCAGUGAAGUCUGCCAUGAACUGACCUGCACUGAGCUUCUUCUCUUCUGCUUUGGAGGUGCAAUGGGACUGUUCCAGGGAUGCUUUGUGCUAGCUGCUAGAGAGGCACCGCAAUUUCAGAAGGUCCUUGACUAUGCCAAGACCUCCAGCUCCUCCUUCUCGUGGGCUUUGCCACCUCUGCAGGGCAGCCCUGGCUGAUGGAUGACCAUAAUGCCAGCUCCAUGCCAUAAGCUGAACUCCAAACUAUCAUGACAAUAAGACUUUUUGUUGGUUUGUUUGUUUGCUGAAAGGGUGGUGAAUAACCUUUGAGAGGUGCCCUGGCUUUGGGACUGCAUUUGCCCCUCCAUUCCCUGGUAUAACAGUGCACGGAAACAAGAAGCUGAAGCCCUCAGAGACAGCUUUUCUCCAUGCUCCCUGCAUGCUCCCACUUAUCCCAAAAAUGAAAACCAGGACACAAGUCCAUCUUUAUUAUCCGAGCUCUUUGGUAGAAGUGGCAAAUGGUUCCUGUUUUCCUCAUGUGAGGCUGGAUCUGAGCUUGCUGGGAACAUUGCUCAGCAUGGCUGGGUUUCCUCAUUUUUCCUUGUAAAUGGAGGUGGUCACGGCCACGCGGCCUGAGGCAGUUUAUGGAUUUUGUUCACAAACUUUACAAAGCACUCAGGAAGGGAUGCAGCCUGAUGGCUGAACCCAGAGCAUGUGGUCUGGGAGACCCAAACCAGUCAUCAAUAACGUGGGGCUCCCUACUGUUGGGCCGUGGCUCCGUGGGGAAAGGGCGGCAGCUUCCUCAAAGGGCUCCGAGAGCCAAGGGGCCGCACGCUGCCAGCGCCAACCAAAUGAGCUCACAGGGAAACACCUGGGGCAAAGAGGCGGCCACGUGGACUUGGCAGUGCCCUGGCAAGGCCGGCGUGUCUCCAGGGCACGCAGAAGGGUUUCCAUCUGAUGCGCUAAUGCUUGGCGAAGCCUGGCGUGCCUUGUCACCCUGCCUGUCCUUGCUGUGCAGCCACAUCCCCGGCAGCACAGUGAAACUGGCACAAAACCUGAGCAGGGAGCAAGAGCAACCGGCACCCCAAAGGUUAGGUGGGCACUUUUGUUUGUGGGGUCUCAGAAUCUAUUUUGUCCCUUUAUUUAUUUAUUUAUUUAUUUUAAUUUUUUUUUUUUUUUUUAAUACAAGAGUCCUACAGCUGCAGGGGGAAUGCCUUGGCACAAAGUGACCAGGGAAAAAAAAAAUCAUUGCACAAGUUGAGAGUGACAUGCAAAGCACAGAGGGAGACAAAAUACCAGGGGAUUCCUAGGGCUGGGGGGCUGGUAUUUUUGAAGGAGCCCCGUGGGGCUGGGUAUGGGGCUGCGAUGCUGUGGGCUACCAGCACGUAGCUCUCCAGGCAGAAUUAAAUCAUAGAAACAUCGAAUUGGUUAGGCUGGAAAAGACCUCUAAUAUCAUCUGGUCCAACCUGCCCCCGGCCUUAAAACUCAGCUUGAACAAAGUGCUGCUGUUAGUCCUUUUAGUAACAGCAGUAAAGAUUUUUUACUGUUGUUUCACACAGAAGUCUCACAGCAUGUCCCCAUUGUUAUUUUGGGGCUGUUCCUCAGACCCAGCUGGAAUCGGUGAGGCCGGCGCCGAGCAAGCACCAUGUCGGGCUGGUUUAUGGCAAGCGGUGCAGGAGCGGGGAUGAUGCUCACGUGCCCCAAACGGGGGUGCCACGGGGCAGCGUACCCAUGGGUUGCUCGGUGUUCAGACCAAGGGCAAACGCUGCCUCGCUGGAGCAGAGCUUCCCAGGGGGGUUUUGCUCCUCAGAUGUUCCUGGUGCUUUUUCUCCCUCUUUUCCAGCUGUGCUGUCCAUGAAGGCUUUCCGAGUGUUCAUUCACAUCAGUUUUUGUGCCUGGAAAAGGGGCAGGCAGGAGGCAGAUUCGCUGCCUAUGGGACCAGCUUGGCCGCAAGAAGUGGGAAUGUUGGGACUGCUCCGCCUGGAGAAGGGGAGGCUGGAGGGAAGCUCACAAAGCCCAUAAAUACCUGCAGGGGGUGCAGAGAGGACCUGCUCAGGACCAGGCUCUGCUCAGCAGUGCCCAGGGCCAGGACCAGAGGCUGUGGGCAGAACCCGGAGCACAGGAGGUCCCCUCUGACCCCAGGAGCUUCAAACCCACCUGGACGCGGUACUGGGCACCCUGCUUGGGGCUGGAUGGAGCCCAAGGCCCCUUCCCACCUCAACCAGACGGCAAUUCCGUGACUCUGUGAAACCCACGGUGACCAGGAACCGCUGCCUUUAAAGCUUCAGCCUUAAUGGGAACGUUUCUGCUGCCAGGGUGCAGCCCACCCGCAGCCGGUGCAGUUCCGAGAUCAGAAGGUGGCUGAUGCUAUUUUGGGGGUGAGUUGUGCUUCCCAGCGUGCAGGUACCCUCUGUCUGGACUUUCAUGUUGCAGGUAAUUGGAAAGGUUCAUGGCGCUGGCAGUGCUCGUUCCUGCCCCACUACUGGCAGCCGGAGACGCUCGGAGUCGGAGCGAGGGCUUGUUUGAUAGCCGGUGGCGGUCCCAAAUCAUUAUUUUCUGCGUUUGCUCUAAUCGUGACUUCUCGGAAAGAGGUGACACUGUGCAGGCAUUGCGAUGUUCAGAUCAUAGCUGGACUUAGGGAAAUACUUGUCAUCAUGAAAUAUCAGUCGCGUUGGUACCAGUUAGCCUGGUCUCAUAGCUGAGAGGCGUGAAGGAUGAGUAGGAAAGCAACUGUGACUAAUGGAAGCUCUUCUCAAAUGUAUGUAGUCAUAGGAGUUAAUGAAAAAAGGAAAAAGAGAUGGCUCUUGAACUCUCCAUCAGGAGAAGUGAAGUGUAACACCAGGCAGAAAAAGGAGCUAACGCUUUCAGCUUCCUUUCCAGCAAUUAUUUUGUGUUUUCAAGUAUCUCUGAGCUCCCAGAUCAGCUUAGGAAACUAUUUGCUGAAUAUUUCCUGGAAAGACUCAGCAUCAGUACAAGAAAUCCCACUCUAGCCUCAUUCUUACCCGUCCUGACAAGGAGCAGCAGGGGCAGGGCAGGGUCAGCCCCCGUUCUGCUGAGUGCUUGCCCCAGAUGAAGAGCUCUGUCACCCUGCUCUUGAUGCUCACAGGAGCAGGCGAGCACAGGAGCAGCUCAGCCGCCACUUCAAGCUCCCCUUUCUUAUUGCAUUAAGUCCUCGUGGCUUGAAUUUACUGCAGCAGGAAAGGCUCCUCUGUGAGAGCCAGCAGGGGAAAGCACGCAGCAUUAAAGCACUGAAAAAAACAUCACCCUGCUUUAUGCAAAAAGUUACGGCUGGAUUAAUUAUUUCUGCCUCCUUGUAAGAGAUGAAUAAACAUCAUACAGAGGAUUUUGAGAAUGGGAAU